Molecule: long non-coding RNA, 504 nt
Organism: Dermacentor albipictus
Lineage: Eukaryota; Metazoa; Arthropoda; Arachnida; Ixodida; Ixodidae
Source: RefSeq, a predicted model, not a curated record
UCGCUCUGUUUUCGAGUCGGUCGGGUGUGCGAGCUGCAACGAUGUGCUUGUUAGAUCGUGUGUUUUUGUGUUUGCUGUAACCAAAUGUGACUUAGUUCGCGUGCGCAUAAGCGCCACAGACAACUUGUGUCUCGCUGCAAACUCGCCGUGUGCGUGGCGCGCCAGCGAAAUGUGGACCAACGAUGUUCAUGCUGUGGAGUGCGUUCCCUUUGUCUCUGGUUGUCGUGGAAAGUUGGGUGGACGUCGCGAAGAAAUAAUGCGUGUUGUUAGCGUGCCACUGCUCGUCCACUAUGCACCGGUAUGUCUGCUGGGAGUAGCAUCGAAGCACUGGCAACUUGGAGGGCGCUUUUCGACCGCGUCGGGCCGUUCAAAAGUGGUGAAGCCGUGACCCACAACAGUGUCCACAUAACCCGUGGCCAUGGCUGCAGCAACACGGCGUGUAAUCUGGAUGGAUAUGUCAGGGUACACAUGCACUUACUUCAAGAUGACGACACUCCACCUCAA